Molecule: long non-coding RNA, 127 nt
Filed under: Parus major (Great Tit)
Lineage: Eukaryota; Metazoa; Chordata; Aves; Passeriformes; Paridae
Description: lncRNA (ENSPMJG00000001931.1)
Source: RNAcentral
CUGUUAUUCCGGUUGUCAUUCCGGUUGUUCCGGUUGUCAUUCCGGUUGUUGUUCCGGUUGUUGUCGCAGGUACCUGUGCCGUGUGGAGGAGAUGCGUCAGUCGCUCAGGAUCCCCUGAAUUCCCGGU